GAACUAGCAACAGAGACUAAGAAGGGACAGCCAAGGCACAUCCAUUAGACUGCAGAUGUGCUGACCCCUGCGAUUUCCCCAAAUGUGGGAACCCAACUGUAUAAUUUGUAGUAGUUGGGGACUGCAUUCACACUCUCCCCUA
Molecule: small nuclear RNA, 142 nt
Filed under: Microcebus murinus (gray mouse lemur)
Lineage: Eukaryota; Metazoa; Chordata; Mammalia; Primates; Cheirogaleidae
Description: U1 spliceosomal RNA (ENSMICG00000025971.3)
Source: RNAcentral